RNAcentral lists this ribosomal RNA (368 nucleotides) under uncultured bacterium. RNAcentral's name for it is "bacterial SSU rRNA". It matches the Rfam family "Bacterial small subunit ribosomal RNA", at positions 67 to 439 of the family's 1533-position model. The record is from RNAcentral.
CGGAAACAUGUCUAGCUUGCUAGAUGAUGUCGAGUGGCGGACGGGUGAGUAAUACUUAGGAACAUGCCUUUGGGUGGGGGAUAACUAUUGGAAACGAUAGCUAAUACCGCAUAAUGUCUACGGACCAAAGGGGGCUUCGGCUCCCGCCCAGAGAGUGGCCUAAGCGAGAUUAGCUAGUUGGUGUGGUAAAGGCUCACCAAGGCGACGAUCUCUAGCUGUUCUGAGAGGAAGAUCAGCCACACUGGAACUGAGACACGGUCCAGACUCCUACGGGAGGCAGCAGUGGGGAAUAUUGCACAAUGGGGGAAACCCUGAUGCAGCCAUGCCGCGUGAGUGAAGAAGGCCUUCGGGUUGUAAAGCUCUUUUGG